This 18-nucleotide unclassified non-coding RNA is filed under the name Mus musculus (house mouse). Its description in RNAcentral is "oocyte_clustered_small_RNA13224". Lineage: Eukaryota; Metazoa; Chordata; Mammalia; Rodentia; Muridae. The record is from RNAcentral.
UCCUGGAUUUUGGGUCUC